Molecule: ribosomal RNA, 440 nt
Filed under: uncultured bacterium
Lineage: Bacteria
Description: partial 16S ribosomal RNA
Rfam family: Bacterial small subunit ribosomal RNA
Source: RNAcentral
CCUACGGGCGGCUGCAGUGGGGAAUAUUGCACAAUGGGGGGAACCCUGAUGCAGCAAUGCCGCGUGGGUGAAGAAGCACUCCGGUGCGUAAAGCCCUGUCAGCAGGGAAGAAAAUGACAGUACUUGGACAAGAAGCCCCGGCUAACUACGUGCCAGCAGCCGCGGCAAUACGUAGGGGGCAAGCGUUAUCCGGAUUUACUGGGUGUAAAGGGAGGGCAGGCGGCGUGGCAAGUCAGAUGUGAAAACCCCGGGCCGAACCCCGGGAGUGCAUUUGAAACUGCAGUGCUGGAGUGCCGGAGAGGCAGGCGGAAUUCCUAGUGUAGCGGUGAAAUGCGUAGAUAUUAGGAGGAACACCAGUGGCGAAGGCGGCUUACUGGACGGUAACUGACGCUGAGGCGCGAAAGCGUGGGGAGCAAACAGGAUUAGAUACCCUUGUAGUC